GGAAAAGAAACUAACAAGGAUUCCCCUAGUAACGGCGAGUGAAGCGGGAAGAGCUCAAAUUUGAAAUCUGGUAGCCUUCGGUUGCCCGAGUUGUAAUCUAGAGAAGUGUUUUCCGUGCCGGCCCAUGUACAAGUCCCUUGGAACAGGGCGUCAUAGAGGGUGAGAAUCCCGUCCUUGACAUGGACCCCCGGUGCUUUGUGAUACACUUUCAACGAGUCGAGUUGUUUGGGAAUGCAGCUCAAAAUGGGUGGUGAAUUCCAUCUAAAGCUAAAUAUUGGCGAGAGACCGAUAGCGAACAAGUACCGUGAGGGAAAGAUGAAAAGCACUUUGGAAAGAGAGUUAAACAGUACGUGAAAUUGUUGAAAGGGAAACGAUUGAAGUCAGUCAUGCUCUUAGGAUUCAGCCGUUCUGCGGUGUAUUUCCUUUGAGUGGGGUCAACAUCAGUUUUGAUCGAUGGAUAAAGGCACGAGGAAGGUAGCACUCUCGGGUGAACUUAUAGCCUCGCGUCAUAUACAUUGAUUGGGACUGAGGAACGCAGCAUGCCUUUAUGGCCGGGAUUCGUCCACGUACAUGCUUAGGAUG
RNAcentral lists this ribosomal RNA (582 nucleotides) under Naganishia adeliensis. RNAcentral describes it as "partial large subunit ribosomal RNA". It matches the Rfam family "Eukaryotic large subunit ribosomal RNA", at positions 55 to 625 of the family's 3401-position model. Lineage: Eukaryota; Fungi; Basidiomycota; Tremellomycetes; Filobasidiales; Filobasidiaceae. The record is from RNAcentral.